This 461-nucleotide ribosomal RNA is filed under the name uncultured bacterium. RNAcentral's name for it is "partial 16S ribosomal RNA". It matches the Rfam family "Bacterial small subunit ribosomal RNA", at positions 338 to 795 of the family's 1533-position model. The record is from RNAcentral.
CCUACGGGUGGCAGCAGUGAGGAAUAUUGGUCAAUGGACGCAAGUCUGAACCAGCCAAGUAGCGUGCAGGAUGACGGCCCUCCGGGUUGUAAACUGCUUUUAGUUGGGAAUAAAAGGGGGCUCGUGAGCCCCGUAUUGUAUGUACCAUCAGAAAAAGGACCGGCUAAUUCCGUGCCAGCAGCCGCGGUAAUACGGAAGGUCCGGGCGUUAUCCGGAUUUAUUGGGUUUAAAGGGUGCGUAGGCGGACGCUUAAGUCAGCGGUAAAAUUGCGGGGCUCAACCUCGUCGAGCCGUUGAAACUGGGUGCCUUGAGUGGGCGAGAAGUACGCGGAAUGCGUGGUGUAGCGGUGAAAUGCAUAGAUAUCACGCAGAACUCCGAUUGCGAAGGCAGCGUACCGGCGCCCAACUGACGCUGAAGCACGAAGGCGUGGGUAUCGAACAGGAUUAGAUACCCCGGUAGUC